AUACUUAUCCAACUCCCAAGGAGACUUAACUGGAAAACUUUCCAAUAAUGUUAGCAAUCUGUGCCAUCUACGAAGAGGUGGUAUCGACCCAAGCCGUGUAAUAUGCAUGUCCUCUGACGUCGAAAUCGUUAAAAAAAUGGAAGAUGGAGCAAAUACGGAUCGUAACAGGAAAGGAAAGCGGAUAUUUACAAAUACGAGUGUUCCUACUGAAUUUCACCAUGUUCUCUGGUGACAAAUGUUGGAGAAAGGGGAACUGUAUGUUUUAAACCUUUCCAUCGCAUUCGCAGCCAACCAUUGAUGCGUGGAAGGAACGUUUUAACUCGUCUAUAUCGUUGAAGAGACGGACGGCGAAACACGGCCAAAAAUAAUCCGUCCCCCUGGUCAUGCUGCUCCAGCUCCAGCUCCUGCAACAAUUGGCACUGCACUGCCCCAGAUUUGGCGUGCAUCUUCUCCAGCAUUGAUUAGACCUCCGCCGGAAUUUGGGGGAGCCAGACCAAGAAAUAUCCGGCCCACUGGUCCUGCUGCUCCAGCUCCAGCUCCUGCAUUAAUUGGCGCUGCACUGCCCCAGAUUUUGCUUGCAUCUUCGCCAGCAUUGAUUAGACCUCCACCGGAAUUUGAGGGAGCCAAAUGCUAUCUUACCGGCAUGUUUGAAGAAGCAACAUCUUGCAUGUUCCGUGACGUGAACCAACGUAAAAGUCAAAUCCGGUCGACGAAGUAAGAAGAAAGAAGAAGAAGAAAGUAUUACUGUUGUAGUCUCAAGCGUGAGGUAAGAACUGCCUUAUAUUGUAUCUGUGUUCGUAGGUCUUACCACCAGAGGUGUCCCUCUAGUGG
Daphnia pulicaria is the source of this 831-nucleotide long non-coding RNA. RefSeq lists it as uncharacterized. The record is from RefSeq and is a predicted model, not a curated record. Lineage: Eukaryota; Metazoa; Arthropoda; Branchiopoda; Diplostraca; Daphniidae. The transcript is spliced from 3 exons.